RNAcentral lists this ribosomal RNA (253 nucleotides) under uncultured bacterium. RNAcentral describes it as "partial 16S ribosomal RNA". It matches the Rfam family "Bacterial small subunit ribosomal RNA", at positions 524 to 776 of the family's 1533-position model. The record is from RNAcentral.
UACGUAGGGGGCAAGCGUUGUCCGGAAUCAUUGGGCGUAAGGGUGCGUAGGUGGCGGGGUAAGUCAGGUGUGAAAUCUCGGGGCUCAACCCCGAAACUGCACUUGAUACUGCCUUGCUCGAGUACUGGAGAGGAGAUUGGAAUUUACGGUGUAGCAGUGAAAUGCGUAGAUAUCGUAAGGAAGACCAGUGGCGAAGGCGAAUCUCUGGACAGUUACUGACACUGAGGCAACGAAGGCCAGGGGAGCAAACGGG